AAAAAGUUUAAAUUCAGGGAAUGGAGUUGAACCAUAGGGUUUUAAGGAAGACAGUCUCUUUCGUUCUCUUGACAUGCUGGAAGAGAAAUAAGCAGUGCUGCUCGUGACACACAGCUGCAUCCAGGGAUGAGUAACUUUUUUCUCUCAUUUCCUUUGAAACAACCAUAUGUAGUUUUCAAGGCGUAAUUGGUUAUUUAACACAAAACAGUGAGACUUCCCAAGAAAUAAUUUAGAAGACCGAUCAGCAAUGAUCAGCCUACUUGGCAUUAAGUCAGCUCUUUCCCUACUGUGUCAGCACUACCAAGAAGACAAAGACUUAUUCUUUUAUUCGUAAAAUUCAGAACAGGAGAUGUUUGUUAAUCUCUGGACAUUCUUUAUCAUCACCCUUGGUUCUUAUUUUGAAUAAUAUAAGUUCUCAAAACAGCAGACUAAUUGCAAGCAGCAGUUACCACAUAAAUGUUGCUCUGAAAUGUUUUAUGAUGAGUUCUGUGACAACUGCAAACCAACAAAGUUCUUGUCAAAAAGCUACCAAAUUGCUUUUAGCUACUUUGAGUUUUCAACUCAACACUUAUCUGUUGUAAAGACAACACUUAAAUAGGUGUUACAGAUCUCCAGUAAAUAAUGACAGAGGUGGAAGAGAGGAGGAUGCUUAAUGAUAACAAAAAAGUUUUGCUUUCCUUGAAAUCUUGGCAAAUAUUAAGUGAUAUUCUAAAGAUUUUUAGAAAUCUAGCAUGUCUCAGUUUGGCUCCAGGGUAAUUACCCACAUUCAGUUUUUGUUUAAAGAAAAAAUUCUUCCUAGCCCUAUCACCUCUUCCUACCACUCCACAUCUGGUACUGGACAGUAGCUACAGAAACCACUUGUACUGAUGUUAUACAGCUAUAAACAAAACGGACCAGUUACCAAAACAGGGACAACAGGGUCAUAUCCAGGAACAGACACUGCUAAAUUCAACAGGAAAAAUUCUACACCAGUAACAACUCUGGAGUGACCCUGUGACAUGGAAAUUUUGGGGUGAGCACUGUGCUGGGAAGAACAAUGGCAAAAGUUGCCUGAAACGGUAAUUUAAAAAAAAAAAAAAAGCUUUAAAUGUUAAUAAACGAAAAACUUCUCUGCUCAUACUGUGCAUAUGCUGGAAAAGCCUAUUCAUAUCAACACUGAGUUCAGUAAGAAAUCUUUUCCAGUUGGCAUGAUUUCACUGUAAACUUAAAAAGAACAGACUGGAUGCUCACUAGACAGUGAGUUAUAUACCACCUUUUGUGAGGCUUUUAAUUCAACAUAUAUGAUCUUCAUGUUAAUGAUUAGUUACGAUAGACCAAUACUUCACCUAGAUAUACUCACUUUUUGCAUUCAUUUUGGUCUCCUUUUUAUUACAAUUCAAAACAAAAUGCACCAUCAAUUUCAGUAACUGACUGAAUUCAUCUUCAUUUAAGAGUUUAGAGUGUUAACAGUGAAAUCAAAUUUGCUGUGAAAUCUGCAAUUCCUUAUUGGUGGCAAACCCUGGGGAAACCAAAGAACUGCAUAAUGACACUACAUGAUUCGUAGAACUUCUUAGCCACUUGCAAGUGCUGCACUAAGCUGGAUUAAAAGGCAGCUGUGAGGGUCUGUUACAGACCAGUUUAGUAAAACAGACAGGAACUGUCUGGAAACAUAAAUGUUUGCAUAUUCAUAAAAAUUCACUCUUUCAUUUAAGAAAACAGCCAAAACACUAUCUAUUGAAUUUUAUGAUCACAUCUGGUGAGUCAAAGAAAUAUUCAAUUCAAAGGUUGCUCAGGAUAUUAAGAAAGGAAAAGCCAUGUUCCAAGCAAGGGACACUGAGGUGGGGAAAUCUUAGACACCAAACAAGACCCUAAACCAGGCAGGCAAUGGCUAAGGACUCAAUAUGCAUUUUGUUCUUUAGAUAAGUUUUACAUCAUCAAAAACCAUACAUGGGUUCUGGUACCUUCAGAUUAUCUAACAGACAUUUGGAGUCCUGAAUAUAAGCACUUGCACAGUUUUAUCUAAGCAGUAAGCCUGCCAAAUAUUCUCAGGUGCUCAGAGCUAAGCAUUUCCAGAUAUGAACCUGUCAAAUCAUGUACUGAAGAACAGGUGAUGAACAAAACAAGAAUAACAAAUGACAAAAGUCUAAUCACAGAAUGGUGGAUAUAUUUUUUAGAUUAGAACAUGUUAUCCUACAGCACUGGUAUUAAUAAAACUCCUGCAGAAAACCUCCCUGAAAACCCUGAGACACACAUGUCAAAAAUUUUCAGCAUCUAACCCCCUGGUUCGCUACUGGUGAAGUUGGCAGCUCUGACACUGGACUCCAACUAUGGUGCUUUUAAAAAUUCAGGUGUUGCUUGAGAACUGCACUUAUCAUGAGCAUUAUGAGCACAUUACUGAAACCCUGCUGUGUUAUUAGUGCAAGCACCAUGCAGACACAGCAGUUUGACUGUAUCUCCUGUCAUCUGAAACAGCUCUUCCAACUGACAAGGAUUGUACUAAAAGCACUUGCUCACUGUGUGCAUUUUCAUUAAGAAUUUGCCUCACAGUUGCUUAGCAUCUCUUUUAACAGUAUUGAGUGAGAGAAGCAUCGAAAAUGGAAAGACCUGAAUGCAAUAUUCCCUCACCCCAGUGCCUCAGGAGAGCCACUUAGUGUGUCCCAAAACAAAAAAAGAGUCAGUGUGCUCCACUGUACUUUCACAACUUCAAUAUUAUCUCAAAAACUAAGAGCUCUAAAGAUGAAGUAACAGAAUCGAAUAUGGUUUACCUGUACAGAAAGACCCACAAAGCCAUUUAGUAUAUACUUGGGCAUCAAGUUAAACUUUGAAAUCAAUGGAAACUUAGGCAUCUCUGUGGAUGGGAUUCACAAGUAACCAUAAGUUCAAAGAUCUUUUUCACACUAUUCAGGGGCUUGCUUGGGAUGAAGAGUUUACCAAAAACUGAGAAGAAAAAGGAAAAAAACCAAACCAGAAACCUUAUAUCACUACCCAAUUUUCCAGAAGCUCUAAAUCUGAUCAUAAAAACUCAAGUGUGAUAGAAAUAAGGAUCAACUGGUGAAUAGCACAAAUGUGUCAUGAAUAAUAUAACUACUAUUUUACACAAUAUAAUCAAGAAUUCAAGCUUACCUUGAAUUCUUUCACCUUUUCCAUGGUAAUCAGGCGCCUUGAUGUGUGGCUGGAAAGCAUCUGCUCACAGUUGCUAAUAAGUUUCAGGCACGGGUGGCGGGGAAUGAUUUCUUCUGUAUAUCUGGAAGAAAUUAACAUUCAUAAUGCUGUAAGCUCAUGAAGUGGAAGACUUGUAUCUGAAACAAAAUUCUUACAGACUCUUCACAAAAAGGCUUACACUAGAAAGUUGUUAUGCACUUUAAUCUGAUUAAAGAAAUUCAGAUAUCGGUGCUCCAGAGUUUUGACAACAUAUAUUUCAAUCAUCUUGUGACAUAUAGUGCAUAGAAUAAAUUAAAAGCUCACACUGAAGAGACAUAACCCUCCCCCUUUUUUCAUAUGUAUUUAAAUUACAUUAAUGUAUGCACACAGGCCUGCCUGUAUAAUGUCAAGUAGAAAAUAUCUCAGCCAACCAGAAAUAAUAACUUAUCCAAUGGGAGCUGUGAUUUUAAAAACAUAUUCCAGCCAACGUAUAUGAUGUUGCAGGAAUAAGAGACUUAACUCCGGCUCCCUAAAAAGAGACCAUUGUGCUUCAAUUUCAAAUCUUAUUAAGCCAGAUCUUAAUAGACAGUGACAUUCCUGGACUUCAACAUUUGGUGUGACAAACCUAUCUCAUCAUAAUUACUUUUUCUAAUGGUGAGAAAAAAAAUCCAUUAUCAUUUAACAUUAGAUAGGAUUUAAUUGUAAGCCAGUAUUGCUGCUAUCUAUAGAAGCAAGCAGUUAAAGUGUUUUAAAUGCCCCAUCUCAUAUGCAUACUAUUUUCUGUAGAAAGUGCUUUCUCUAGAUUGCUUUCAAUCUUUCUAUUUCUAUUGCUGAAAGAGGAAUUUAAAGAUUUAAGACCUUUUGUAAUGGUUUUGAGUUUAGGCCUUCCUUCCUGGUCGCCAGGAAGGAAGGAAGGAAGUAUUCCAUCCAAUUCCUUUACGCAAUCCAAACAUAUAAAUAGACAGAGAGAGAAGCCUUUUCCUCUCUUCCCUUCCGGCGAGGUUUGGAGACAUCAGAUUCCCCACAGCCAGUCUCGUUUCUGUGGGGGAGCUGGGGCCUGGCUGGGCCUACGGGGCCUGUUGUUCCUGCUGAUCUGGAGUCCGACAGUGUGGUUGGCGGUGUUUGGGCGAUUGUGCUAUCCCAAGGAAAGUAGUAAGAUAUUCUUUUGCUAAUUCUUUAGUUUGCUAGAUCCUGAGGGGUUUUUUUGAUUGUGUAUAUCUGUCUUGGUUUUUUGUUGGUUUUUUUUUCCCCUUCCCCUUCCUUUCCUUUUUGGGAUUGUAUAUAGUAUUUCAACUGUAUUUGACUGUAAUAUACGUAAAUACAUUUAUUUUAAUAUAGUUCGGCUUGUCUGGAUUUUUCAUAGUUUUUUUUUCUUUGCUCUUUGCCAGAGGUUUUUGUGCUGGGUCUGCGGACUUGGCAGGGAGCCAAGUAAAACUUAGACACCUUUGCAUGGGACUAGAGCAGCAAGAAGUAUUGACCUAGCUAAUAUAAUAAACAUGAGAUCAGACACCCUUCCCAUAUACUGAAACGUAGAUCAGUCAUUUAGUCUUAGUUUUUGUAAUAAGCUGUCAUGUAAUAGUUACUUCCACAUAACACAGAAAAUGGGUUUUGGUAUUGUCAGGGACUAUGACUUUGUACAAAAUGUCUGCUCUCAUGAUUCUCCAAUGCUUGGGAGUCAACAGGAGUCAGACAUUAAAAAGCAGAACUAAACAACUGAAACACCUAUCACUUCAACUUAAAAGGUAUGAAAGAGGAGCUUUGCAUUUUUCUUGUGAAGAGGUGGAUUUUAUGAAUGCACUUUACAAAGUAAAGGUAUUGUUCUGGGAGAAAGAGAAGACAAAUGUAACACAACUCAAAAUAGGAUCCGUCUAGGUGCUGAUGGAAAACUUGGCAUUUCUUAAGAUAACAGUAAGCUGUUAAACAAGUAACUCAAUACCAAACACAGAUUUGUAAAUAAGAAAAAAGAACCCCAAACAGUACUGCCUCUUUGUUUGCCUCAAAACUUCCAGACUGCAAAACAACCUUUCAGUCACUUCUCAUGUGGAAUCAACUUGCUACUUCCGCUAGCUGACGUCAGAACAUGCUUUUGACAAAGGAGAAUAAAAUUAUUUCUCAACUGCUCUUUCUAUUAUACAAGACUUUCGAUGCAUCUAGUAGCACCAAACUCGCUCUUUCUCCUACAAAGGUAGGCACUCCACCACAUCAUCUUAAAUUUUUAUAUAUACAAUAAUAUAUAUAGAAAAUAUAUGUAAUAAAGUUUAUACAUAAAGUUUAUAAGUAUAUAACAUUAUAAAAGACUGACUGCAAAGGAAUUAAAAGAAUUCUGACUCAACAAUGACUUCAAUGUCAGACUGAAAGAGUAAACUUUGGAGUGAGAUGCUAUCUUGCAGAAGGAGAGAUCACUAUCAGUUUGUUAAAAAGCCUUGUCUGUUAGCAUUAAUGCAUGUAUUUCUACAUUCUUUCAGGUAAAACUCAGAACCUUAUCAAGUAAGGAAUACAGAAGCAGUGGUUUUAACAGACACCCAAUUCAAUCCAGUUUUGGCUUUAAUUUAAGGUAAUACACAAGGAUCUCAAGAAAUGAAAUUGAAGGCAGGUGUUGCCAAGGGAUAUUUGAUAAUGCAAUAUGUUACUAGAAAGUAUCUUCCCUUCCCCCUACAUACUUGUUUUAAUGUCUGUUCCCUUGUUCAGCAUUACAACUGAAAAUAAACUGACUGUACUAAUAUUCCGUGCUAAUAUAGUGACCUCAGUAUUUCAAUUCACAGUAGGAUGUACAAAUUCACUUUUUAUGAGGCAACUUAACUAGACCUCCCCAAAACAGCAACCAAAGUAGAUCCUGAAUGUGCAGUUCCCAAGUUAUCUGAAGUGAGGAAACAUGUUUUUUAUCAAAGUUCAAUGAGCAGACAGAAAAACUCUAGUAUCUUGAUGAACAGAAUAAAUUCAGUAAAUCCAAACUGUUUUUAUUGACAUUGAAAUCUCAGAAUUCACAAUCACACACAGUCUAUUGGGGCUAAGCAUGUAUAGACAGACAUUUUGAACAACUAGCUAUAAUACUGUUAAUGGCAUUCAUUGCUUUGUUUUUUUUAAUUGUCUCACAAUAAAAAAAAGCCUAAAGAUACCAAUUCUAUCAUUUAUUAAAAAAAUGCAAACUGCUAAGUGCACUCUUCUGUUACAGCAGCAUGUAAAAGAAAUGGCUCCAUUUGAUUUCCAAAUUUUCUAAGCGUGUGAUAUAUAGGAUAUAUAGGACUGGCACAAGGCAUUUCCAUGAUGAAAUCAGGGACAACCACCACUUUAUUCAUCAGUAAUAUUUUGACUGUACAUAGAAACAUCUGACAUUGUAAAAACUACCUUCGGAGCACAUCUGUAUCUGGAAGAUACUUUGAAAAACCUACAGAACUCUUCACUUUACAGUGAAACAAUUUAAAAAAAAACCAAGUCAAAACAAAAAUACCAUCAAACCUAUCUAAGAGAUGCUUAAGUAAGGUAUGCAAACAGCUGUCUUUCCUUUUAAACUCAGUUCUGAACUCAGGCUGCACUACUGAGCAGAUAGGAUCUCGCAGUCUCUGCUGGCCCCUCUCGUCCUUAACAGGGCUGCUCCCUUAUGAUUCUUGCCUCUCACUACCAUCUCUUGGUCAUUUGACUUUUAUUUCUCAGAAGCAAGCUAAAUUAGUAGUGCCAAACUCCAAAGAACCAAGAGUGUUUUUCAUAGGACCUUGUCACACAUCUUUAUCAAUUACUCUAGAGAAACACAUUCUAAUAUGUACCUUGAAAGUUUAAUUUCCUAAGCUUAAACCUCAACUCACUGGAUGUACAUUUCCAAUGACACACUAAGGCUUUUUCUGUUUGGUAAUAGUCAGGAAUUAUCGCCAUUCAAAAACCUUAUUUCAAAAUCUGGUUUUCCUCACACAAAGUUUUAAAAUACGAAGUCUGGGCACUACUCUUGAGUGCUGGUGCUAUGGAAGCUCCAGCUGUACUGUGCCCCAAAAGAAACACAGUGAGAGUUCAGCAGCCAUUCUGACUUACAACAUAACAGAAAUCAACAAUACAUACUCAGGCCUGUAUAUUGGCAGCCAGUAAACUAAUCUUCCUCCCAUCACCAGAUAUUCUGCCGCAAACUUCAACAGGUCAAAAAAGAUGUCACUUAGAUGAUAAUUGGAUGAAACGAAGAUGUGAUUUUCUGUGCUAAACAAAAAAUGUACAAGUGUAAACAAACAUAAAAGCACGGGUAAAACCUACAUUUCUUAAAAUAAUAACUAAAAAAAACCCCAAACCAAAAACAGACCACAAAAGCACUAUCUGACACUCGCAAAACUAAUUGUGACAAUCCAGAAAUACAACUUCUAAUAUGAGGAAUAUGACUUUGCAAGUUCCCAUAACUGGCUCUUCAGACUAUCAUCUUUAGUAUCUGAAGUCAAAGACUCACAGGUAUACUGGGAAUAGUUGUUUCUUAACAACAGCUUUCUUAACAAUUUAGAGCAAAACGCAGAAGAAAAUGACGGCCAGGCAGUGGAGAAGCCACGACCUAUCUCUGAAAAGAGAGAUUUUGCGGCCUGCAGAGACUGAAGAGAACCUUCUGAGAAUAGGAAAUAAAAGGUAAUGAUGGCUCACAGAGGUGAGAAAUAGGAUUCAAAAUCUGAACACACACAAAUGAUAAGCAGGGAGAACAAAACCAAGAUGAUUUCAGGAAAUGACAUACUGGUUUUGCAAACAGAGUAAAAAGGGCUUUUCUUCUUUAAUUUAUAUUGCCACCAUUUUUUUAACUGUUGACAGCCGACCAAGAAAUAGUAAAGAUUCUAAAACUAUGACUAGAUUUCCAUUUAGACAUUUAUAUUCUACAACAGAUGAGACAGCUCACCUACCUUCUUUCAACUGACUUAACUGUUUCCUUUUGUGAACCUGUUCUGCGAGUAGCUUCUCUGAUACCAUAUGGUGCUAGACAAAGCAAAUGCAUAAUGCAGAGAUGAGAACCUCAUUCCUUGUCCAAAUAACACACAAUUAUACCAUACAUACACAACAGUGCAUAAACUGUGGCUUAUACAAAGUUAAAAAAAGAAAAGCUUUUACAAAGUAAAACUCAGCAAGGGAAAUUUCUUCAAGAUCUAUUAAAAGUUUAUUACUCCAAAAGGUUACUUUAGAACUGAUUCAAAGAAAGCCCUUCAGCUUUCUAAGAGCUUCUAAUAGCCUAGAAGUUUGCUACACUACAAAGAACAAUGCUUUUCUGUUUUGUUGAUUAAAAGAUAUUCCUCAGACUUGAAACAUGUGACAAAUAAUACCAUCCUCUUUUGUUUGCCAGACAUGAACAUGUCCCCUAUAGCACUUAGUUAACCUUUUUCAAAAUGAAAUUAAAUACAUUGGAAUUUCUUGCCAGUACAUUACACAAAUGGUAAUUCUCUCACAUAAGAACCAGAGAUGGCUUUUUCUCACACAUUUUUGCACAUUUCUAAUAACAUAACAUACUUAUUUCAUGUUCAAAACCCCUGGUUUUGUGAGACUUGUUUCAGCAUCAUGGAAGCACCAAUAUAACCACCGCAGAAGUCUUACAAAUUGUGUCACACUCAGUUCUGAGUCCAUAUUGAUAUUCUACACUGUUUUAUUGCCAAAUGGACCAAAUAAAAACUAGCAAGCAACCUACGAAGAAAAGUCACACUCCCUAUUCCUAAUUAAUAUGAAUGUCUCAUCAUAAGAGUCAGCACUAGAGAUCAGAAAUUGCUGUAUCAAGGUCUUUCAUUUAUUCCCUUAGUUUCUAUUCCCUCUCAUACAUGACAAAUGGUGUUUAGUACAUAGGUUGCUAAAAGAGCAAAGGAUCCUUCCAAAAUGCUAAUGCUUCUAGUAGUUAAGUGUAUUGGAAACACAUUAAAACUUCUCUUUGGAAGCAUUACAAUAAGCAUUUAACAUAAAUCUUUGGAAGUCCAUCAAGGCUGCAUGGCAGACUCCAAUGUCCUGCAGAUCAAGUUCUAACAGCAACAUGUACCAUUCUGAUAAGAAGUCUCUGUGCAUCAAUAAAGUUACGCUUUUACUGAAUGAGACUUCUUCAAAGGAUGAUUUCCAGCCGUAUUGAUUUCUGCUGGUGAACAUAAUAUUCUUUCCACGGAAGAAAGAGUUACUGCCAGCUUUGUUACACAUUUAUAACUACCCUUAAAAUAAAUGCAGAGAUGUCAAAUGCAGAUCCAAUUUCCACAGUGCUGCUCUCAAUAACCAUCUCUGACAAACUGCAGACCUGAGCACUCAUCCAGACAUUAAAUCAACACAUAUAGGCACAGACACAGGUAAUAAUCUUUCAGUCACUGCUAUCAGGCAACAAAAAGCAGUAACAAACUUACGGUCUGUAAUGAUUGCAUCAAACAGCAUCCCUUUUCGCCAUAUUGGCCUGGAAGAAUCAGCAACCAGUGCAUCGAGGUAGUAUUUCUCUAAACCAUACUGUCGGAGAUUAGCUCUGAUAUUUUCAUCUGGCCCUCUCCAUUUCUGGUUCUUUCUGCUUGCCUUGCCUGGGAAGGGAAAGGGCCCAGAGUGGGGGAAAAAAGCACACUCAACAAGAAACUAUUAUAUAAGAAAAGCUUUUCAUAUACUCUACCAUUUAAUUUAAAGGAAAAUAAUUAAAUGUCACUACAAAACCUGUCAAAAGUACUUGCAGUAAACUUCAGAAGUAGUAAGAAAUAAUGAAAAUACACUAGAAAAGUUCUGCUGCACCAUCUGCAUAGGGUGUCCCAGAACACAUUUGUAAAAAUCUUGUUUUGUUAGACAUUCUCUCUGACCAUCAGUCACAAUCCUGUCCACUAGGUCAGAUACAGUUUGCACUGCAGAUUUUCAGAGAAGUAAGAAUAAGAUUAGACUUCCUGGGUUAGGUUACGAGAAGCUUCCUACAUCACAGGUUAAGACAGCACACAGCUGUGGUAAUUAUUAUUUGGAAUUUCGUUUGGUUUUUAUUAUUCCUUUUUUAAAAUAUUUCCUGCAUAAAAAUAAGAUAAUAUUUUAUCUAGGAUACAUGUAAAUUGGUGAGUAAAAAUAAGGAUGACCAAAUAAAUCCUAAUAAGAUUAAUAUUGCUUUAAAAUCCACUAAGUAUCAUCCACUACCAUCCUAAAUUCCAGAGAGCAAGAUUUCAGUGGUUUAGAAAUAUGUAACAUACCUAAUCCGUGGAUUGUGUUGUAAUCUAUAUCAGUACCACACACAUAUGCUCCAAAGUGUGCUGAGGAGAUCAGAAGGCCACCUACACAGGGGAGAAAAGAGGAAAAAUAUAAACUCCUGUCAUAAAUGUUACUUGUGUUGGAAUUUCUCCCUCAGGAACUUCAGGAGUUUACAGCAGUAGCACACUAGACCCAAAGCUAGACCCAAGCAUAAAAAAAAAGAAACUAAAAAAAGAAACAAAACUACCAACCUGUUAGAAUCACUACGCAACUAUAAUCAGAAAUAAUUACACCAAGUCCCUUGUCUGCUAUACCUGAUUCUCCUUAUCUUACUAUGCCUUAUGUCACUCCUUAUCUUUUGAGACUGCUCUUAGGAGUUUGUUUAUGGUUCUCUUUAUUUCAAGGCAGUAAGAUCCUUUAAUCAUUACAUGAACCAAAACUUUUGAUACUACUUUGCAAGGAACAGAAUUUCAUAUUGUUGGCACACAAUUUGAAAAGUCAUCACCAAACAAAUAGCAGUUCUCCUGUGUCUGUUCUCAAAGUAUCUCCUUAACUGUGUCUAAAAUCAAACUUGUUGUAAAAUGUGGCCAUUCCCUGCGUAAGAAACAAUGGUCAAGAGCCUUGCAAAUGUAAAUAUGUCCAAUGUAAACAGGGAACAUCAAAACAGUUCCUGUAAUUGUUAUGCUGUGUGAAAACUAUAUACGAAUGCAUUUUUCUGUGAGUAUGCUGCCUAUUUUGUCAGCAGUUUUACCAGUGUACUUAUUCUGCAAUAAAAUCAUUUUUUUAAUUAAUACUGUUGCAACCUGCUUUACUAAUU
Long non-coding RNA from Pseudopipra pipra, 11056 nucleotides. RefSeq lists it as uncharacterized. The record is from RefSeq and is a predicted model, not a curated record. NCBI's taxonomy places the organism in Eukaryota, Metazoa, Chordata, Aves, Passeriformes, Pipridae. The transcript has 2 exons.